GAUGAACGCUAGCGAUAGGCCUAACACAUGCAAGUCGAGGGGCAUCACAUGAAGUAGCAAUACGGAUGGUGGCGACCGGCGCACGGGUGAGUAACACGUAUGCAACCUGCCUUCAACAAGGGGAUAACCCGUUGAAAGACGGACUAAUACCCUAUAACACAGGGGUCCCGCAUGGGGAUAUUUGUUAAAGGACAACCGGUUGAAGAUGGGCAUGCGUUCCAUUAGCUAGUUGGCGGGGUAAGGGCCCACCAAGGCAACGAUGGAUAGGGGAACUGAGAGGUUUAUCCCCCACACUGGUACUGAGACACGGACCAGACUCCUACGGGAGGCAGCAGUGAGGAAUAUUGGUCAAUGGGCGAGAGCCUGAACCAGCCAAGUCGCGUGCAGGAAGAAUGUCCUAUGGAUUGUAAACUGCUUUUGCAGGGGAAUAAAGUGAGCCACGUGUGGUUUUUUGUAUGUACUCUGCGAAUAAGGAUCGGCUAACUCCGUGCCAGCAGCCCG
RNAcentral lists this ribosomal RNA (501 nucleotides) under uncultured bacterium. RNAcentral describes it as "bacterial SSU rRNA". It matches the Rfam family "Bacterial small subunit ribosomal RNA", at positions 28 to 517 of the family's 1533-position model. The record is from RNAcentral.